Long non-coding RNA from Fukomys damarensis (Damara mole-rat), 3714 nucleotides. NCBI's taxonomy places the organism in Eukaryota, Metazoa, Chordata, Mammalia, Rodentia, Bathyergidae. The record is from Ensembl.
UCGCCGGCAGGAAGCCCCGCGUCCCCCCGGUGUUCCCCAGACAUCCCGCCCAGAGCCCCGCGUCCCGCGUCCCGUGUCCCCGGGAGGAAGCGAGAAGUCGGCAGCGCGGGAGCCGGGGCCGGCUUCCGGGAGGUCUAGGAAGUGCUUCUCGGUGGUCGUCUCCCGGGACUCCUCCCGGCGCCCGGGGCUUUCCGGGAAGGUCGCCGCGCUGGGUCAGACGGACGCCGUGCGUACGUACCCAGGACGUGCGGAUGCAGGCGACGGGGACUCGGCGAGAAGGCGGCUCCCGGGUCCUGGCUCUCUGGAAGGUGGGAGCAGCCGCAGCACAAGUCACCCGGCAGAGAGUAGAGGCUGCCCCGGCCCUGUCGGCCCCAGCGCACCCAGGCCGAAACUCCUUGAAGAAAGCACCCUACCCCGACUCCUGACUACUCCGGAUAAAAUUGGCAACUAUGUCCUGUAAACUAAGUUUAUGUCAAUUUAUUCUCACAAGAUUCACAAGACUCUGUCUUCUUUGAAGGGUAAGUCACAAAAUUAUCCUUGUCCUGUUGCUGUAAACUCCUUGCUAUGUCACUAAAAAGACCAGCCCACUUUGACUAAAUGUAUAAAAUAUAAAACAUUUCCUUGUCCAACACUCAGUCUUUUGGAUGGGAGUCCAACUGUGUCAUGAUUCACCUAAUAAAUCCUCCUGAUUCCCAUUGAUCUCUUAUCUCUUGGAAUUCUGUAACAAGAGCAUGCCUGGAUAUGCUGCUGAUGACCUUUAAUAGAAGUAAGCUUCAAGAACGGGAUUUCUGCUAUAGUCAUGCAUUCUUUAAUAUCUCAUUUAUUAGAAAAAAUCAGCAACCCAGCUUUCCUUAGGUCUUCAUGAGCUAACAUUUUGUAGAUUUUUUCCCCCUAGUUACAGAAAUCCUCUCUCUGUGUUGUCCACAACUACUCUUACAAACUGUAUUAGUAUAGCAAAUGUUCUUGGAAGAGUAAAGAGAUUCUUGGACACCUAUAUCCCACAUCAGGAAACAUGUAUUAUUAAUCACUACCUCUUCUACAUUGUUUCCUUUUGUAGGGGAAGCAUAGAAAACUGGUAAAGAGUGGUAGUUUUCUCUGCAUUACCCAAUGCAACAAUGAUAACCAUGUUCCUGGUUACUGAACAGUCUCCAUAUCCUGGUGAAGAGAAUUCCCAUUCUCCGGCAGCAAAGCCCUUCCAGCCACCUGGGCCACCAGACUUCCCCACCUCAAGCUGAAGGGAUGAGGUUCCUGCUGGAGCCUCUGCCUCCUGGGAACUGGAGGGAGGCCAAAGCCCAGGCCACCCUGCAGAAUGUGAGGCCUGGCUACUGCCAUGUUGUCUGCCAUGAACCUCACAGGCCACUAUCUUCUUCCAUCCCCAAGCUGUUUUCCUUCCUGUAAUCCCCUGCAAUAAAAUCCAGAGAGUGGGAGACUGCAAUACUGAUGUUGCCCAAAGCAGGCUGUAAGUGAUGCAGGCUAUAAAAAGUUAACCCGACAACUGGCUUGUUUAUAGAAGUGAGUCCAGCUGAAACCUACAUGCUGAGGUCAGAGUGACUCACACCCAAAUUCCAUUCCUACAAUUAAAACCUCCUGACUAGAAGGACAAUGUUCUACAACCAAAUAUUUUGUCUAUUCUGUUCCUAAUUCGAGAAUGCUUUGUCUUAUCCUUGAUGAGCCUAGUUUACAUUAAUUUUUAUAGAAACUACAUGUCUGCGCAUCUUCACAUGUAGUACAGCCUUGCACAUAGCUUGCCUUUACCCCAAUUGAUUUACCCCAAUAAAAGUCCGUGGCUGGGACUGGCCAGUGCGUUUGUCAGAUGCACUGGCAUUGGUCAUCCUGGCACCCUAUUUUCUGUCUUAGUUCUGUCUUUUAGGUUCCGGCCCCCUCGGGCCUGCACUGUACACUGGGCAAGAGACUGGAGCCUACUGCAGAGGUUUCCAGUAACAUUUCAGGGGUCCCCAGUGAGAGAAUUCUUGAUUUGGUGCCAUUUCCUUGAGGCCCUGUCCUGCUGGGUGCUCUCAGAACAGUCCUUCUGGGUUUUCGGUGUUCAGACCUAGUCUCAGCUGAGUAAUCUUUUCAUCCUCUGUGGCAGCCACAGUGGCACAUUACAACACCUCUCUGUGCCUGACUUUCCAGAUCUACAGAUAGGGAUGUUGUGGGCAUCUGUAGGAUUAAAUAAUAUGGUGGAAAUUAUUGUGUAAACUUUAUAGUGCUUAGAACAAUACCUGACAUGUAAUAAGAUAUGCUUGCCCUAAAAUAGAAGAUGGGAGAUUUUUUUUGAGCUAGAUGGGAUUAAGACUUUAAGUUGUAAGUGACUGUGCUUUAUGUGGCUGGAUUGGCAUGUUAGUAAGUUUUCUUUCUACCCAGUGGAAUAGCGAAGCUAAAAAUGCAGGCUUGGUAGGUUAUUAGAAAGAAAAAAUAAAUCAGUGCUAAGUGUUUUUUUUUCCCCCCAAUAGUCUUGCUGUGUAACCCAGGCUGACCUUGAACCUCCUAUACUCCUGCCUCAGCCUCCUGAGUAACUAGUAGUAUAGUAAUACACCAUUACAAUUGGCCCUAUCUGGGUUUUUGUUCUUCAGCUUAUCUUUUUAAAGUUCAAAGGAUCACAAAGAAGGGAGAAAAUUGAAGCUAAUGAGUGAUUUUAGGGCUAUGGCAAAUGAAAACUACCACAAAAAUAUUUUUCUCUGAUGAGGAAACACAGGGCACCACCUAUAAAGUAUUGUUAGCAAAUCUAGUGAACCUGGAUAUUUUUAAGUUUCUAGAUGCUAAUACUUGUCUAUAGGUGAGGUAAAGGACCAAGGUAGUUACCAGUUUUCAAAUUUUGUCAUUUUAGAAUCAUUGGGAAGCUCUUAAAACAUCUUGAUACCCUGGCUUUAAUCAAGAUCAAUUAAAUUCAAAUGUCAGAGCAUGGGACUCGAGCAUGAGUAAAUUCUAAAAUAUCAUAGGUAAUUCCAAUUACCUGAGAAUGAAUGAGUGUUAUGGUUUAUAUGUAGGUGUCCCCCAAGAGGCUCAUGUACUGAGGGGUGCUGCUUGUUAAAGAUGACUGGAUUAUUGAGAUGCUACAGCUGACUUCUUGUUAGGAGGUGGGACCUGGCUGAAGGACACAGAUCGAUGGAGGUAUGAACUGGAAGGGUGUUUCUCCCAUCAGGCUCAUAGCUUCUCUCUUUCUGGUUCCUUGCCAUAAUUACAUGAGCAUCUGUCCUCUGCCAAGGCCCUUCUGCCAUGUUGUUUCUGUUUUCAUGCCUGCUAAACAUGGACUGAAAUUUAUGAGCUGUGAGUCAAAAUAAAUCUCUCCUCCUUUAAGUAAUGGGUGUUGGAUAUUUUAUCCCAGCUUUGAGGAAAUAACUAAGACAACGAGUUAAAUAAAAUAUCUUGAAAAAGUAAUCAGCCAGGCUUGGCAAUGCACACAUUGUAAUUCCAGCUACCCAGGAAGCUGAGGCAGGUGACUGAAAAUUUGAGGUCAGUCUGAGCAACUUAGUGAUGCCCUCAAAAGAAAAAGGAGAAAUUGGGGGGACAUAGCUAGGUGGUAGAGCACCCAUGGGUUCAGUCCCCAAUACCACAAAGAGAGACAGAAGGACCAAAAGAAAUAAUUAGCCAAAUCUAGAAUGUAGACCACUGUGUAAGGCAGAAGACCUAGGUUCUUCAACAAAUAAAUGCAUUUUUAUAAAACUACAGGACAAAAAGGGGAACUAUCAUAGAAUAAAAGACUGAAGAGACCCA